Molecule: ribosomal RNA, 2919 nt
Filed under: Lactiplantibacillus plantarum
Lineage: Bacteria; Bacillati; Bacillota; Bacilli; Lactobacillales; Lactobacillaceae
Also listed under: 1 other name
Description: bacterial LSU rRNA
Rfam family: Bacterial large subunit ribosomal RNA
Source: RNAcentral
UUAAGUUAACAAGGGCGCAUGGUGAAUGCCUUGGCACUAGGAGCCGAUGAAGGACGGGACUAACACCGAUAUGCUUCGGGGAGCUGUACGUAAGCUAUGAUCCGGAGAUUUCCGAAUGGGGCAACCCAGCAGUUUUAAUCAACUGUUACCACUAGAUGAAUUCAUAGUCUAGUUGGAGGUAAACGCUGUGAACUGAAACAUCUCAUUAGCAGCAGGAAUAUAAAGAAAUUUCGAUUCCCUAAGUAGCGGCGAGCGAACGGGGAACAGCCCAAACCAAAGUGCUUGCACUUUGGGGUUGUAGGACUGAACAUUUGAGUUACCAAAGAACUUGAUAGUCGAAGGAUUUGGGAAAAUCCGCCAUAGAUGGUGAUAGCCCAGUAGAUUAAAUCAAAUUCUCUCAGUUCAGGAUCCUGAGUACGGCGGAACACGUGAAAUUCCGUCGGAAUCCGGGAGGACCAUCUCCCAAGGCUAAAUACUACCUAGUGACCGAUAGUGAACCAGUACCGUGAGGGAAAGGUGAAAAGCACCCCGGGAGGGGAGUGAAAUAGUUCCUGAAACCAUGUGCCUACAAUAAGUCAGAGCGCGUUAAUGCGUGAUGGCGUGCCUUUUGUAGAAUGAACCGGCGAGUUAUGAUCCCGUGCAAGGUUAAGACUAAAAAGUCGGAGCCGUAGCGAAAGCGAGUCUGAAAUGGGCGUUUUGAGUACGAGGUUAUAGACCCGAAACCAGGUGACCUAUCCAUGUCCAGGUUGAAGGUGCGGUAAAACGCACUGGAGGACCGAACCCGUGUAAGUUGAAAAUUGCUGGGAUGAGGUGUGGAUAGCGGUGAAAUUCCAAACGAACUUGGAGAUAGCUGGUUCUCUCCGAAAUAGCUUUAGGGCUAGCCUCGGAAUUAGGAUCAUGGAGGUAGAGCACUAUUUGGACUAGGGGCCCGUCUUGGGUUACUGAAUUCAGAUAAACUCCGAAUGCCAUUGAUUCAUAUCCGGGAGUCAGACGAUGAGUGAUAAGAUCCACCGUCGAAAGGGGAACAGCCCAGACCAUCAGUUAAGGUCCCUAAAUGUAUGCUAAGUGGAAAAGGAUGUGGAGUUGCAUAGACAACUAGGAUGUUGGCUCAGAAGCAGCCACCAUUUAAAGAGUGCGUAAUAGCUCACUAGUCGAGUGAUCCUGCGCCGAAAAUGUACCGGGGCUAAGCAUACUACCGAAACCAUGGAUGCGACCAUUAGGUCGCGUGAUAGGAGAGCGUUCUAAGGGCGGUGAAGCAAGAUCGUGAGGACUUGUGGAGCGCUUAGAAGUGAGAAUGCCGGUAUGAGUAGCGAAAGAUAGGUGAGAAUCCUAUCCACCGAAUGACUAAGGUUUCCUGGGGAAGGCUCGUCCUCCCAGGGUUAGUCGGGACCUAAGUCGAGGCCGAGAGGCGUAGACGAUGGAUAACAGGUUGAGAUUCCUGUACUAGUUAAGUGCGUUUGAGCAAUGGAGGGACGCAGGAGGCUAAGAUGUGCAUUCUGUUGGAUUAGAAUGUCCAAGCAGUAAGUCUUGUGAAGAGUCAAAUGCUUUUCACUUUAAGGACAAGCUGUGAUGGGGAGCGAAAUUUAGUAGCGAAGCGUCUGAUGUCACACUGCCGAGAAAAGCUUCUAGUGAGUACUUAACUACCCGUACCGCAAACCGACACAGGUAGUCGAGGAGAGAAUCCUAAGGUGAGCGAGUGAACUCUCGUUAAGGAACUCGGCAAAAUGACCCCGUAACUUCGGGAGAAGGGGUGCUGAUCGCAAGAUCAGCCGCAGUGAAUAGGCCCAGGCGACUGUUUAUCAAAAACACAGGUCUCUGCAAAAUCGUAAGAUGACGUAUAGGGGCUGACGCCUGCCCGGUGCUGGAAGGUUAAAAGGAUGGGUUAGCUUCGGCGAAGCUCAGAAUUGAAGCCCCAGUAAACGGCGGCCGUAACUAUAACGGUCCUAAGGUAGCGAAAUUCCUUGUCGGGUAAGUUCCGACCCGCACGAAAGGCGUAACGAUCUGGGCACUGUCUCAACGAGAGACUCGGUGAAAUUAUAUUGUCCGUGAAGAUGCGGACUACCCGCGACAGGACGGAAAGACCCCAUGGAGCUUUACUGUAGCUUGAUAUUGAGUGUUUGUACAGCUUGUACAGGAUAGGUAGGAGCCAUAGAAACCGGAACGCUAGUUUCGGUGGAGGCGUUGGUGGGAUACUACCCUCGCUGUAUGACCACUCUAACCCGCACCACUAAUCGUGGUGGGAGACAGUGUCAGGUGGGCAGUUUGACUGGGGCGGUCGCCUCCUAAAAAGUAACGGAGGCGCCCAAAGGUUCCCUCAGAAUGGUUGGAAAUCAUUCGUAGAGUGUAAAGGCACAAGGGAGCUUGACUGCGAGACAGACAGGUCGAGCAGGGACGAAAGUCGGGCUUAGUGAUCCGGUGGUACCGUAUGGAAGGGCCAUCGCUCAACGGAUAAAAGCUACCCUGGGGAUAACAGGCUUAUCUCCCCCAAGAGUCCACAUCGACGGGGAGGUUUGGCACCUCGAUGUCGGCUCAUCGCAUCCUGGGGCUGUAGUCGGUCCCAAGGGUUGGGCUGUUCGCCCAUUAAAGCGGUACGCGAGCUGGGUUCAGAACGUCGUGAGACAGUUCGGUCCCUAUCCGUCGCGGGCGUAGGAAAUUUGAGAGGACCUGUCCUUAGUACGAGAGGACCGGGAUGGACAUACCUCUGGUGUACCAGUUGUGCCGCCAGGCGCAUCGCUGGGUAGCUACGUAUGGAUGUGAUAAACGCUGAAAGCAUCUAAGUGUGAAACACACCUCGAGAUGAGAUUUCCCAUUCCUUUAUGGAAGUAAGACCCCUGAAAGAUGAUCAGGUAGAUAGGUUAGAAGUGGCAGUGCGGUGACGCAUGAAGCGGACUAAUACUAAUCGGUCGAGGACUUAACCAA